This 253-nucleotide ribosomal RNA is filed under the name uncultured bacterium. RNAcentral's name for it is "partial 16S ribosomal RNA". It matches the Rfam family "Bacterial small subunit ribosomal RNA", at positions 524 to 776 of the family's 1533-position model. The record is from RNAcentral.
UACGUAGGGGGCGAGCGUUGUCCGAAAUUACUGGGCGUAAAGCGUUUGUAGGCGGCACUGUAAGUUAUCUCUAAAAGGCGACAGCUCAACUGACGAGUGCGAGGUAAGACUGCAGAGCUUGAGGCAAGGAAAAGAGUGUGGAACUCCGAGUGUAGCGGUGGAAUGCGUAGAGAUUCGGAAGAACACCCAUGGCGAAGGCAGCACUCUGGGCUUGACCUGACGCUGAGGAACGAAAGCCAGGGGAGCAAACGGG